Amphiprion ocellaris (clown anemonefish) is the source of this 1391-nucleotide long non-coding RNA. RefSeq lists it as uncharacterized. The transcript is spliced from 3 exons. The record is from RefSeq and is a predicted model, not a curated record. Lineage: Eukaryota; Metazoa; Chordata; Actinopteri; Pomacentridae.
CCAAGCAACUCGAAAUGGAAGACGGUAAACACUAUGACCCGUCUGAAUUUUCAGCCGGCCAUUUAAAUCGGCCGGUUAUAGCUCUUUUCAAAAUAAUCAUCAUCUGCCAGAGUUUUGUCGAUUAAACAUCAAUAUAUUCUUCAUUUCUCAUUAAACAGUAAAUGCUGUUAAGUGUCGGAGUCACGCAGAAUGAUGUCUUUGCGCAGUUUGUCCAUAACUUAUGGACAAACUGCGGAUCUUUCGUGGGGGGACGGAGGGGCAAUGGUCCCCCUGUGAUCUGACUGGCCACCCCGUGUGCCCCCCCCAAAAAUUUUCGUUAGAAAUGUACAUUACUGAACCUCCGAUUUCCGACGCUCUGAAAGCAGCUUCGUUGUCCGACUGGAACUGAAGGCACCAAUGACGUCAGUUUGAUCUUUUCAUCGGUAUCGUACAUUUGAUUUGGAUUUGAAGAAGCUUUGGAAACGUUUCCUGAUGCCGGAGGAGAAGACGAGCAGCUUUGCGACCAUGAAACGGAGAGGAGACAUGCAGAACGUUUUCAUUAAAAGAGGUCAGUAGGUCAGACUGACAGUUCCAGAGAGGACCAGGGUCAGCCUGAAUGCAGCCAGGGAUCAUCAUGUGUUGUUGAGCCAAACAUCCAGGGCCAGAGCAGCAACCAUCAACCUCCAGAUGCAUCAGUGGAGGAGCCGGACACUUCUGACCCUGAUGACUGAGAGUAGGACUCUUCAGACUGUGCAAAAAUGCAAUCGCCUUACCUGUAAGCACAGCUGCAUGCGAACGCAGCUUUUCAGCACUGAAACUGAUAAAAACAAAAAUCACUUGCGCACCACCAUGAACAAUGACAGACUGAGUGACCUUGGGGUGCUAAGUGUGGAGUCCAACAGAGCCAAAGCUUUGGAUAUGGGUGAGUUCAUCUGGUUGUUUAGUCGCCCACAUGGUUGUUUUGAAGUGGUUUUGCCUCUAAAAAAAGAGAAGUUUGAAAUUGCACCAUGAAAAUGUACUGAUGCUUGUUCUGAUUAAGACUGAUUACUUUGCACAACCAAGAACCAGAGCUGAGCACUCAGUACUAAGAGUAAAUAAUAUUGCUCACUGUGAAAGUAUGUUGAGAGCAGCUUUUUCUGAUUUCUAUGCAGAACACUAUGACGUUUACUGAGCUAUGCACUAUUAAAUGAUUUAAGAAUAUGGAAUACUGUUACUGUUUAUUAUUCUAAGGUUUACUAUAAAGAGUGCUGCUUAUUGUAUUUUAUUUUAGUAUUUUAAAAAUUACAUUACUGCAAAGAACAUUUAAGAUUAUUUUACCACAGAUCAAGGGUAAAGAUUGUUAUUGUUCACUGUGAUGUAUUGGGUAGUACUCAUUUUGAUUAAGACUGAUUAGCAUACAGAACUCUAUGAUG